AGGAAAGUCUAUGACAGCAGCAGCCAUACACACACAUCUCCCCAAGUAACACCUUCAACAGCAAGGGUUUGGAGCAGACAGAGCAGUGAAAUGAAUUUUGUACCAGUGGAUUUUUCGUCCCAACUGUGCUGCUAGUCUCCUCCCUUUCUCUUCCUGGGAUUCUGGGCUGCCACUUGUUAGCAUCUGCACCCCCCACCCAUCUCUCUGAACUUGCCCUUCAUCUGGUUCACUCUCCAAUCACAGCUGGCCAUGCUUCCCCAGCCACAACCCCACCUUGGAGCCUUAGGAGUUGCUGCGCCCUCUGCCUGAACCUCUUUUGUCAAGACACCAAUUUCUCAGCCAGGACUUCCCUGCCCACUAUUUAGAAACACCCCACAUUGCCCAGCAAUGCCCCACUCCCCUGGCAUCUCACACUCUGCCUGCCGGAGCUGCUGAUCUGCCCCUCUGCCAUCAAGCGAGCUCCAUGAAGGCAGGGAUUGUCAGUUAUGUUCACUGCUGUAUCUCCAGCGCCCAGCACAGAGUCCAGCUCAAAUUAGACACUCAAAUGUAUUUUAAGUGACAGUAAGGAAGGUAGUUGAAUUAAUGAAUUGCCUACACCAGGCAAUGUGCUGGGCGGGGGCUGGGCAAACAAACGGGAAAGGAUCUGUGCUCUGGAAUGCCAUCUGAUGGAGGAGGAUGCGAUCCCACAUCCCGAAGAGAUGAUCACACAAUGCCCACUAAGACGCAAGGUGGGCUGCCACAUCAACAUGCCUUAUACCCAGCUGGCCAUGGGAAAGGACUACCGAUCAACCCAGCUGGGAGACUGGGCAGCAGGAGAGCUCCUUCUCAUUCAAAAGGCCAGUGAUUUGAUACCAUCAAGGCCCAGUUACUGAGUCAAGAGCCUCCCUGGUGCAGGCUGUUCCAGGCCCCCGAAUUGCUUCUCCUUUUCUUCCCUCACUUGACUAGAAGUCCUUUCCAUGGACAAGAUUCCAGGUAGUCUCUCUCAUUGGUCUUCCUUGGGGCAAAGGUCAUGGCUCCCAGACUGCUUACCUGGCCCUAGGCAGUCUUAUCUCUCACACUGGCCUUAGUCCAUUCAGCCCACCUCCUCCACCAAAGCCCAGCCUCCCUGCUCCGCCCACCCCAUUACAAAGCUGUUCCCCAGCAGGCAUUUGCCCAAGCUAUGCUGCCUGCUACUCAAGUCUCAAGAGCUUCUCCAGGCCACACACCAUGGUGAAGUCGCAGGGACCCCACAGAAAAAACCCCAUCAACUUGCCUAAGGGCUCAGGGAAGUUGGGCAGGAAGCAAUCAGACCCAGGUUCCUCGAAUAAGCACCCGUGCACAUCAUCAGCAUUGCAUGAACGUCAGCUCGGCAGGGUAAGGUUUGGGCCAGUCUGGGAGAGCUGGUGGUGCCUGACAGGUAGCAAGACCUCAGACCAUGGCAGUGACUCAAGGACUCCACAAGGCUGAAUUAGAUGGUUACAGGGAGGGAGGGAGGGAGACAGGGAUCCCUACUGCAAAGGUCUGAUGUGCACACAUCUGAUAAGCUUCCCCUUUGAGAUUGCUUUCCCUAACCUGGCAAUCACUGGAACCACAUUCCACCAGAGGAAGGCCCUGGGGAUGCCCUAAGGGAUGUGCCUGCUCCACUCCCUUCCCAAGAGCCUAAGUGAUUAGCACCCAGGGGAGGACAGAGAUUUGGGGGAUCUGCAGGAACCAGACCAAGGGUUUGCCAAGCCAAUAAGUGUAAGCUGAGUUCAAGAACCCAGCCCCCUCACACUCCUUUGAGGAGGCAGCCUAUAAAUAAGUCAGUCAAGGAACACUGGCACUCCCUCGGGCAGAGUGAAGUGUCACAUCCAGCAAUCUGUGGGAAAGCAGGGCUGGGGAGAAUAAAUGGGGAAAAGGAACACUGGACGGCAUGCAGGGAUGAGAAGGAUAAAGUCCGCGGCUGAGGAGGGGCCGGCUUCGCGUAGCACAGACGAGGUUCCCCGAAGGCUACUCCCCUGAGACCUCACAGACGCCUGUCGCCCGAAGAGACGCGGCUCCAACAGCAACUACUACCGGGCGUACCAGCCGGCUCGGAGGCCCAGGGGACGAAGCGCUGGGCGUGAAUCCGCACACACCUCCGGCCUCGGCAUGACCUCGGCUGGGAAGGCGCAGGGCCCUGUCCCCAAACCCCGAACCAGGCUGGCCCUCCCUGUUGCCCCUAGGAGAGAAGAGAGAAGCCCGGGAACGAACUCGGUGCAGCCGCCAAGGGCUACGGAGAAACUUCGCGGGAGUACAUCCCCUAAGGCAACACCGUUCCCGAGCUUGCAGGUGCGCGAGGUGCGGAGGUGGGACGCCGGGGCGCGGGAUCCCCAAGGGAGACGCCCUGGCGAACGGGUCUCCUUCCCGGCCCACUAGAUACCCCUUAAAAACAGUUUGCGCCGAAGAGGGAAGCAGCCACCCUCCCCAGUCCUGCCCACCCUCGCACUUGGGUGAAGGCAGAGGGCCCGGAGAGGGCAGCGAGGGCAGCGAGGACAGCAGAGGCACAGCGGCUUCUCCUCCGUGGCCCAGAGCCGGCACGCAGAUGGGAAGACAGAGGCUCAGAGAAGGCUGGGAAUUUGUCCAAAGCUACACAGUGAGGUAUCAGACAAGAAGGAACUGAAGCUCAGGCUCCUACCAGUGGGGGGACUCUCCUUCCUGCUCCACUAGGAGCUUUGCUGAUGGGCUCUCUUGCAGGUAGAUGUCACGACCCCUAAAUCACAGAUGAGGAAACCAAGGCUCAUGAGGGAACCAGAUGACUGACAGCAGCUGGAAUCAUCUGCAAACCAGCAGGA
This is a long non-coding RNA of Manis pentadactyla (Chinese pangolin), 2792 nucleotides long. RefSeq lists it as uncharacterized. The record is from RefSeq and is a predicted model, not a curated record. Lineage: Eukaryota; Metazoa; Chordata; Mammalia; Pholidota; Manidae. The transcript is spliced from 4 exons.